RNAcentral lists this ribosomal RNA (422 nucleotides) under uncultured eukaryote. RNAcentral's name for it is "bacterial SSU rRNA". It matches the Rfam family "Eukaryotic small subunit ribosomal RNA", at positions 592 to 1018 of the family's 1831-position model. The record is from RNAcentral.
CAAUAGCGUAUAUUAAAGUUGUUAGCAGUUAAAAAGCUACGUAGUUGGACUUCUGAUGUGGAGGGACGGUCCGCCUCACGGUGAGCACUGAUUCUUCACGUCUUCCUCUCGUAGUCUUUUGGCGCACUUAGUUGGGUGCCUUUAGAAUAUGGGACCUUUACUUUGAAAAAAUUAGAGUGCUCAAAGCAGGCUUAUGCCUGAAUAUUAGUGCAUGGAAUAAUUGAAUAGGACCUCGGUUCUAUUUUGUUGGUUUUCGGAACUCGAGGUAAUGAUUAAGAGGGACAGACGGGGGCAUUCGUAUUACGGUGUUAGAGGUGAAAUUCUUGGAUCGCCGUAAGACGAACUACUGCGAAAGCAUUUGCCAAGAAUGUUUUCAUUAGUCAAGAACGAAAGUCAGAGGUUCGAAGACGAUUAGAUACCAU